RNAcentral lists this ribosomal RNA (38 nucleotides) under uncultured Thelephoraceae. RNAcentral's name for it is "partial 28S ribosomal RNA". Lineage: Eukaryota; Fungi; Basidiomycota; Agaricomycetes; Thelephorales; Thelephoraceae. The record is from RNAcentral.
UUGAUCUCAAAUCAGGUAGGGCUACCCGCUGAACUUAA